AUCAGUCACAGAGAUCCUCCUUCCCUCUCUCGUCCUCUCCUCCAACCCAGGGGUUCCCCAGGGAGUGCUCCAGGACCUCCAUGUAGUCCUCAGUGGCCCCCUGCUGCUCCCCCUGCAGGAGGCAGAGCGUGGCCCACAGGUAGCAGGUGAUGAGGAGGGCAGAUUGGCAAGGAAGAUGUUGCCGGGUGACCUGCUCUUCCUUCAGGCAUCCUCUGGGUACCCGGCCCCUCUGGACCCUGCUGCAGGGCAGGACCAGCCACGAGCGGCCCCCUCUCCUCAGAGCCCAGCUUGUGCCAUCAUCAAGCCAGUGGUUUUUGGGAUCCACCACCCCUCUGCCCUGGGAGUCGCAUGUGUCAUCUUAGUUCCCCG
Capra hircus (goat) is the source of this 369-nucleotide long non-coding RNA. RefSeq lists it as uncharacterized. The transcript is spliced from 3 exons. The record is from RefSeq and is a predicted model, not a curated record. NCBI's taxonomy places the organism in Eukaryota, Metazoa, Chordata, Mammalia, Artiodactyla, Bovidae.